AUAAUGCUCCAUCUCAGGCUCAAUGCCAUAAUUGUCAGUCAUCAACUUAAAAUAACGCUUGCCCUCCUUGACCAAACCUGCUCGACUACAAGCAUUUAAAACACCAAUGAAGGUAACAUUCACGGGACGUAUUCCUUCAUUUAGGAACCUCUCAAAGAGUGCAAUAGCUUCUUUUCCACGACCGUGUGAGGCCAUACCACAAAUCAUGACAUUCCAUGUGGAAAUAUCUCUUUGGGGCAUUUUGUCAAAUAGAAGCCUAGACUGUUCAAUGCACCCACAUUUUGCAUACAUGUCAAGAAGGGCUGUCCCAAGAGUAACUGUCAGUGGAAUAUUCAAUGAAUCUAUAAUUGAAUGAACCAACCGACCGUGUUCAAUUAAACCCAAUUGCGCUGAAGCCGAGAGUACCGUCACCAAUGUGGCUUCAUUUGGAAUUAACCCAAUCCCUCUCAUCCUUCUGAAGCACUCUAAACCUUCUUCAAGCUUCCCAUUAUGCACAUAAGCCAUAAUCAUAGUAUUCCACGAGAUGACAUCUCUUUCGGGCAUUUCAUCAAACAUACUCUCCACGACAUCAACUCUUCCAUCUCUUGCAAACCCCGCCAACAUAGCAUUCCAAGUAAUAACAUCACGGUUAUAUGGACUCUCAUCAAACACCUUUUUUGAACUCUCAACCUUACAACAAGAAGAAUACAAAUGAAUCAAAGCAUUCCUCACGUAUACAUCCUCACCAAAUCCAAGCUUCACCACAUGACCAUGAAGCUGAACCCCUUCAUUGAAACCUAUUCCCUUUCCACAAGCUUGCAAAAGAAAAGUGAAACUAUAAUUAUUGGGUCUUACACAAUUUCUCAACAUCGAUGAGUAAAAAAGAACAGAUUUCAGAGGAGAUUCGCUCUUUGCAAAGCACCUGAUCAUGUUAUUGGAGGCGAAAACAUUUGGGUUUGUGAUUGUUUGAUAAAUUGACUGAGAAUAAUCAAAUGGGGUUGAUGGAGACAGAGCGAGGAUGGUGAGGAGAUGACCCAUGAGAGACGCAUUCCCGGCGAGGCCAGAGAUGAUGAUGUGGGCAUGGGCUUGCUUGGUCUGGAAGAGUGAAGGAUUAGCCCGCAAAGAAGAGAAAAAUGGGUGAAAUAUAGCGGUGGAGAAUUGAGAAUAGGAAGCUUUGGUUGUGAAGGAGAGAAGAGGUACUGGUUUAUUAGCAAACAUAGGAGAAAACAGACGGAAAU
This 1217-nucleotide unclassified non-coding RNA is filed under the name Hevea brasiliensis (rubber tree). The record is from RNAcentral. Lineage: Eukaryota; Viridiplantae; Streptophyta; Magnoliopsida; Malpighiales; Euphorbiaceae.